GACGAACGCUGGCGGCGUGCCUAAUACAUGCAAGUUGAGCGCUGAAGGUUGGUCCUUGUACCAACUGGCUGAGCAGCGAACGGGUGAGUAACGCGUGGGGAAUCUGCCUUUGAGCGGGGGACAACAUUUGGAAACGAAUGCUAAUACCGCAUAAAAACUUUAAACACAAGUUUUAAGUUUGAAAGAUGCAAUUGCAUCACUCAAAGAUGAUCCCGCGUUGUAUUAGCUAGUUGGUGAGGUAAAGGCUCACCAAGGCGAUGAUACAUAGCCGACCUGAGAGGGUGAGCGGCCACAUUGGGACGGAGACACGGCCCAAACUCCUACAGAAGGCAGCAGUAGGGCAUCUUCGGCAAUGGACGAAAGUCUGACCGAGCUACGCCGCGUGAGUGAAGAAGGUUGUCGGAUCGGAAAACACUGUUGGUAGAGAAGAACGUUGGUGAGAGUGGAAAGCUCAUCAAGUGACGGUAACUACCCAGAAAGGGACGGCUAACUACGGG
RNAcentral lists this ribosomal RNA (497 nucleotides) under uncultured bacterium. RNAcentral's name for it is "partial 16S ribosomal RNA". It matches the Rfam family "Bacterial small subunit ribosomal RNA", at positions 28 to 507 of the family's 1533-position model. The record is from RNAcentral.